Molecule: unclassified non-coding RNA, 380 nt
Filed under: Hevea brasiliensis (rubber tree)
Lineage: Eukaryota; Viridiplantae; Streptophyta; Magnoliopsida; Malpighiales; Euphorbiaceae
Source: RNAcentral
AUGACCCCAAUCUUAGAAGAUGAUUUCACUUGCAUUUCUCCUUCAAGAACAAAAAGCAAAACUCCUGUAAUAAAUAUUCUACAAUAGGGCACUAUUUGGUAUUUCUGCAUCACAAACUUCUUACAAUCUAUUGCUGUAAACAGAACAUGUAUAUAACUCAUCUUCCAGGGAAAAAAAACUGGAUUAAAAAUCUUAAUCAUGUUAUCAGCUUUCCUUCAUGCCCAUGUCACUGAAGUUAGGAUCUCAUCUGACUAGUACAUUACAGCAAACAACUGAAUUCAAAGCUCUAUUUGAGACUACGAUGCAUUUUUUUGUACCGUUCACCAGCUGCUCAACUGUUUCUUAAGUUUCGAAUUCUGAGAGGAUUUACCACCCUUGUC